AUACGUAGGGUGCAAGCGUUGUCCGGAUUUAUUGGGUUUAAAGGGUGCGUAGGCGGUCUAUUAAGUCAGUGGUGAAAUCCAACAGCUCAACUGUUGAUGUGCCAAUGAUACUGAUGGACUUGAGUACAGACGAGGUAGGCGGAAUUGACAGUGUAGCGGUGAAAUGCAUAGAUAUUGUCAAGAACACCGAUAGCGAAGGCAGCUUGCUAGCCUGUAACUGACGCUGAGGCACGAAAGUAUGGGGAUC
This 247-nucleotide ribosomal RNA is filed under the name uncultured bacterium. RNAcentral's name for it is "partial 16S ribosomal RNA". It matches the Rfam family "Bacterial small subunit ribosomal RNA", at positions 523 to 769 of the family's 1533-position model. The record is from RNAcentral.